This 189-nucleotide small RNA is filed under the name Chrysemys picta bellii (western painted turtle). RNAcentral describes it as "TUC338 (ENSCPBG00000000311.1)". The record is from RNAcentral. Lineage: Eukaryota; Metazoa; Chordata; Testudines; Emydidae.
CUGACAGCCCUGGAAAUUGCAGUCCUAUAUAUAGCCACAGUACAGGUACAGCAUGGACAGCAUUAUCGUAAGCUUUCUCACACUGUUCUCUGCCAAUUAGCCUCAGUGCUUGAAAUGAAUGCAUCUUUUGUGUGUGUCUUUGUUCUUUAUGGGCCAUAGUUUCAGCUGGUGUCAAGCAACGUAGCGCCA